Molecule: long non-coding RNA, 667 nt
Organism: Homo sapiens (human)
Lineage: Eukaryota; Metazoa; Chordata; Mammalia; Primates; Hominidae
Gene: PEF1-AS1
Product: PEF1 and COL16A1 antisense RNA 1
Source: Ensembl
UCACACACUCACCUGCCGGUAUUCUAAUCACAGAAUUACUGGAGCAUCAAGAAGUGCCUGCAUGCUUGGAAGGGCUUCCAGGCAGAUGAACACACCUCAGCACCGGGUGGCAUUUUCCCAGGGUGCAACCCGGACCGGCUCUGGGUCACACUGACAAGCCUCUCCGACUCCCCAGGCUGGGUUGGGUGCUCCUCCCUCUCAUCCCACAGCGCUAUGUCUCAUGUCUUCUGGAAAACUUGCCAAUCCCUAGUGACAACAGGGUUAACAAUUUCCAGAGACAGCCCGUACAUAGAAGGAAUGUUUACUGAAAAAAAUGAAGAGGGGUCAGGGCAAGGCGAGGAGCAAGAAGCACCCCCAAGGAAACAGAGAAGACCAGUACAACUGUACCUCUUUGCCAGCUGCACCAUCCGUACCAGGUGGCACGUUCCAGAGCCAUAGCCUCUGUUCUAUUCAUCUCCAGUCUCCUGGGGUGGAAGUGUCCAGCACAGAGACUGCCACACUGCAAGACGAAGGGGCUGGACACACGGAAGAGAGAGGCGGAACCCUGCACCCCCUCAACCUCAGCCCUACUGAGUCUCCAAUGGGGCCACGCUUCUGAGUGCACCUCCCCGUGUCAUCUGUAAUGUGAGGGGGAACCAGGCUUGAUAUGGCAUUCCCAAUCCAGGGC